GCUUGUUCUCGGGGCGGGGUGAGAUUCCCCACCGGCGGUAUGGAAAGCGAUUUCCGAGCCCGCGAGCGCCUGAAAGACGAAGCUGAUUCGCUUCAUCAAUCAGGGUCAGCAGAUCCGGUGAGAUGCCGGAGCCGACGGUAUAGUCCGGAUGAAAGAGAGCAAAA
Molecule: non-coding RNA, 164 nt
Filed under: Ochrobactrum sp.
Lineage: Bacteria; Pseudomonadati; Pseudomonadota; Alphaproteobacteria; Hyphomicrobiales; Brucellaceae
Description: FMN sequence
Rfam family: FMN riboswitch aptamer (RFN element)
About the family: The RFN element is a highly conserved domain that is found frequently in the 5'-untranslated regions of prokaryotic mRNAs that encode for flavin mononucleotide (FMN) biosynthesis and transport proteins. This element is a metabolite-dependent riboswitch that directly binds FMN in the absence of proteins.
Source: RNAcentral